UUGUUGCAAAGUGCGCUGCUACAUGAGAAAACCAGCUCUGAUUGUUACAAAAGGAAGUCAUCUGAUAAGCUGCAAACACGCCUGCUGCCAAAGCUCCAGCUUCAAUAAUAACUGGAUUCCAGAAGAACAACAACAGCUGUGUGUGUGUGCUGUGCAUUGAAAGGCUCUCAGGUUGGCUCCAGCACAAACACAACGUUGUUGCCCUGGUUUGCGUUCUUAGGAAGAUGAAACUUGAGUAAGAUGGACAAAAAGUGAAAGAAUACAGGCCACAGUGGAGACGAGAGCUGGACUGAAGCCUUUCUCCAGGGUGAAGUUGCCCAAUAGAAACUUGGAGCUGAA
This is a long non-coding RNA of Oreochromis niloticus (Nile tilapia), 339 nucleotides long. RefSeq lists it as uncharacterized. The transcript is spliced from 2 exons. The record is from RefSeq and is a predicted model, not a curated record. NCBI's taxonomy places the organism in Eukaryota, Metazoa, Chordata, Actinopteri, Cichliformes, Cichlidae.